RNAcentral lists this ribosomal RNA (497 nucleotides) under uncultured bacterium. RNAcentral describes it as "partial 16S ribosomal RNA". It matches the Rfam family "Bacterial small subunit ribosomal RNA", at positions 38 to 507 of the family's 1533-position model. The record is from RNAcentral.
GGGGGGGGGGGGGGGGGGGGGGGGUGGGGGCGGGUGGGGCGGCCGGGCGAGGAGCUUGCUCCUCUGGCGUUGGCGGCGGGCGGGUGAGUACCGCGUGGAUCACCUCCCUAUAAGACUGGGAUCACUUCGGUACACCGGAGCUCAUCCCGCGUCCUCUCUUGACCCUCAUUUUUCCCUCGUUCACGGCUGUUUUACUUUCCCUUACACGUGGCUCCGCGCCGCAUUACGUAUGUUGUAAGGUAAGGGCUUACCAAGGCAACGAUGCGUAGCCGACCUGAGAGGGGGAUCGGCCACACUGGAACUGAGACACGGUCCAGACUCCUACGGGAGGCAGCAGGAGGGAAUCUUCCGCAAUGGGCGAAAGCCUGACGGAGCAACGCCGCGUGAGUGAUGAAGGUCUUCGGAUCGUAAAACUCUGUUAUUAGGGAAGAACAAAUGUGUAAGUAACUAUGCACGUCUUGACGGUACCUAAUCAGGAAGCCACGGCUAACUACGUG